RNAcentral lists this ribosomal RNA (386 nucleotides) under uncultured bacterium. Its description in RNAcentral is "bacterial SSU rRNA". It matches the Rfam family "Bacterial small subunit ribosomal RNA", at positions 28 to 416 of the family's 1533-position model. The record is from RNAcentral.
GAUGAACGCUGGCGGCAGGCCUAACACAUGCAAGUCGAGCGGAUGAGUGGAGCUUGCUCCAUGAUUCAGCGGCGGACGGGUGAGUAAUGCCUAGGAAUCUGCCUGGUAGUGGGGGACAACGUUUCGAAAGGAACGCUAAUACCGCAUACGUCCUACGGGAGAAAGCAGGGGACCUUCGGGCCUUGCGCUAUCAGAUGAGCCUAGGUCGGAUUAGCUAGUAGGUGAGGUAAUGGCUCACCUAGGCGACGAUCUGUAGCUGGUCUGAGAGGACGACCAGCCACACUGGGACUGAGACACGGCCCAGACUCCUACGGGAGGCAGCAGUGGGGAAUUUUGGACAAUGGGCGCAAGCCUGAUCCAGCAAUGCCGCGUGCAGGAUGAGGGCC